Molecule: ribosomal RNA, 726 nt
Filed under: Klebsiella sp.
Lineage: Bacteria; Pseudomonadati; Pseudomonadota; Gammaproteobacteria; Enterobacterales; Enterobacteriaceae
Description: bacterial SSU rRNA
Rfam family: Bacterial small subunit ribosomal RNA
Source: RNAcentral
AGGAUUUAGAUACCCUGGUAGUCCACGCCGUAAACGAUGUCGACUUGGAGGUUGUGCCCUUGAGGCGUGGCUUCCGGAGCUAACGCGUUAAGUCGACCGCCUGGGGAGUACGGCCGCAAGGUUAAAACUCAAAUGAAUUGACGGGGGCCCGCACAAGCGGUGGAGCAUGUGGUUUAAUUCGAUGCAACGCGAAGAACCUUACCUACUCUUGACAUCCAGAGAACUUAGCAGAGAUGCUUUGGUGCCUUCGGGAACUCUGAGACAGGUGCUGCAUGGCUGUCGUCAGCUCGUGUUGUGAAAUGUUGGGUUAAGUCCCGCAACGAGCGCAACCCUUAUCCUUUGUUGCCAGCGGUUCGGCCGGGAACUCAAAGGAGACUGCCAGUGAUAAACUGGAGGAAGGUGGGGAUGACGUCAAGUCAUCAUGGCCCUUACGAGUAGGGCUACACACGUGCUACAAUGGCAUAUACAAAGAGAAGCGACCUCGCGAGAGCAAGCGGACCUCAUAAAGUAUGUCGUAGUCCGGAUUGGAGUCUGCAACUCGACUCCAUGAAGUCGGAAUCGCUAGUAAUCGUAGAUCAGAAUGCUACGGUGAAUACGUUCCCGGGCCUUGUACACACCGCCCGUCACACCAUGGGAGUGGGUUGCAAAAGAAGUAGGUAGCUUAACCUUCGGGAGGGCGCUUACCACUUUGUGAUUCAUGACUGGGGUGAAGUCGUAACNAGGUAA